This 1058-nucleotide non-coding RNA is filed under the name Pongo abelii (Sumatran orangutan). The record is from RNAcentral. Lineage: Eukaryota; Metazoa; Chordata; Mammalia; Primates; Hominidae.
AAUACUCAGAUUUGACAAUGGUGCAUACUGAGUACGCAGUUGAAGGCAUUGGUUUAUCCUGACAUUCACAACAUUCUCUCUUAAUCCUCACAACGUCGGAUGGUACUGGCUGAGUUUUACCGAACCUGAAGUGCCGGGAGACUACAUAACUUACUCAUGGAUCCAUAGCUAGCAAGCUGCAAAGCUGGGAGUCACAACUCAAGAGACUAUUCCACACCAAAGACUGGACAAAUGGUUUCAUGAAAUGUUUCCCAGCUUUGUUAGGCUGAUACCGAGAAACAGCUGCUCUUCACUUCUCCCAACUGAAAACUCCAGUUAUUAUCAUUAAAACACCACCCCACUAAAACCUGCAGAAGAUCCACCCGCUCUGAGGAAAGACCUCCACUGAUAGUACUGUGGAAUAUUGGGUUGGAGGGAUUUAAAGUAGAACGUGGGAGACCAGACAGAAGUCUACAGCAAAAGGCCAGGCAAAAACUUGAUGAGAGCCUAGAAUACAGAAGUGGCAAAAAAGAAAACUUCAAAUGUCACAGUACAAAUCCUAUUGUUCACUAUCCUGGGUCCCAUCUCAAGCAACGUGCAUAUUAUAUAUAUUCCCAGCUUCUGGACACAGAACACAGUGAUCCCUCAAUUAGUGGAUACUUGUGAUAUGAAAGAACUGAGGAUUUGGGAGGAGUGCAGAGGAGUAACAUUGGUCACUGGCAGAAAGAGAAGAGGAAGGAGCAGGAAGGGAGCAGAAAGGAAGAACUGAGAAAAUCACUAUCUGUGAUAUUUUAUUUCUUAGGACAAGAAGAUCUAAAAAAAAAAAAGGCAAUGUCAGUGAUGAAAAGUGGGUGAUGAAUACAUAGGGAAGAAGCCAGUUGAGAUUUUUAAAAAAAAAUCUUGAAACACAAACUUGGACAUUGGAGCCUUAGCUUUUAGAAUCCUCCCUCAAAGAAAGAAAAAUACAUGUUUUUCUCCCCCACUAUAUUGUCACUUCCUCGAGGAAGGACAAGGGCUCAUGUAUUCUGUUUAUCUGCAUGCCUAGAGCCUGACCCAAUUCAUUUGUUUGUUCUAUUUUG